RNAcentral lists this unclassified non-coding RNA (335 nucleotides) under soil metagenome. RNAcentral's name for it is "partial contains 5.8S ribosomal RNA, internal transcribed spacer 2, and large subunit ribosomal RNA". The stretch from base 1 to 120 matches the Rfam family "5.8S ribosomal RNA", at positions 35 to 154 of the family's 154-position model. The record is from RNAcentral.
GAUGAAGAACGUAGCGAAAUGCGAUAAGUAAUGUGAAUUGCAGAAUUCAGUGAAUCAUCGAAUCUUUGAACGCACAUUGCGCCCGCUAGUAUUCUGGCGGGCAUGCCUGUUCGAGCGUCAUUUCAACCAUCAAGCUCCUUAGCUUGUGUUGGGGACCUGCGGCUGCCGCAGCCCCCGAAAUGCAGUGGCGGGCUCGUUGUCACACCGAGUGCAGUAAUCAUUCUUCUCUCCGGGCGUGGCGGCGGGUUCCGGCCGUAAAAUCACCAAUUUAUCAAGGUUGACCUCGGAUCAGGUAGGAAUACCCGCUGAACUUAAGCAUACCAAUAAGCGGAGGA